AGAACGAACGCUGGCGGCAGGCCUCAAACAUGCAAGUCUAGGGGAUGUAGCAAUACAUCACCGGCGGACGGGUGCGUAACACGUGGGAAUAUACCUUUCGGUACGGAACAACUGCGGGAAACUGCAGCUAAUACCGUAUACGUCCUUACGGAGAAAGAUUUAUCGCCGAAGGAUUAGCCCGCGUUCGAUUAGCUAGUUGGUGAGGUAAUGGCUCACCAAGGCGACGAUCGAUAGCUGUUCUGAGAGGAAGAUCAGCCACACUGGGACUGAGACACGGCCCAGACUCCUACGGGAGGCAGCAGUUGGAUCUUGGACAAUGGGGGAAACCCUGAUCCAGCCAUGCCGCGUGAGUGAUGAAGGCCUUCGGGUUGUAAAGCUCUUUACCGGGAAGAUAAUGACUGUACCGGAGAAUAAGCUCCGGCUAACUUCGCGCCAGCAGCCGC
Molecule: ribosomal RNA, 443 nt
Filed under: uncultured bacterium
Lineage: Bacteria
Description: SSU rRNA
Rfam family: Bacterial small subunit ribosomal RNA
Source: RNAcentral